This 470-nucleotide ribosomal RNA is filed under the name uncultured bacterium. RNAcentral's name for it is "bacterial SSU rRNA". It matches the Rfam family "Bacterial small subunit ribosomal RNA", at positions 329 to 793 of the family's 1533-position model. The record is from RNAcentral.
GCAGAGCAUCCUACGGGAGGCAGCAGUGGGGAAUAUUGCACAAUGGGCGCAAGCCUGAUGCAGCCAUGCCGCGUGUAUGAAGAAGGCCUUCGGGUUGUAAAGUACUUUCAGCAGUGAGGAAGGUGGGUAUGUUAAUAGCAUAUUCAUUUGACGUUAGCUGCAGAAGAAGCACCGGCUAACUCCGUGCCAGCAGCCGCGGUAAUACGGAGGGUGCGAGCGUUAAUCGGAAUUACUGGGCGUAAAGCGCAUGCAGGUGGUUGUUAAGUCAGAUGUGAAAGCCCGGGGCUCAACCUCGGAAUUGCAUUUGAAACUGGCAAACUAGAGUACUGUAGAGGGGGUAGAAUUUCAGGUGUAGCGGUGAAAUGCGUAGAGAUCUGAAGGAAUACCGGUGGCGAAGGCGGCCCCCUGGACAGAUACUGACACUCAGAUGCGAAAGCGUGGGGAGCAAACAGGAUUAGAUACCCUGAUAG